RNAcentral lists this ribosomal RNA (504 nucleotides) under Cytophagales str. KAT5. RNAcentral describes it as "bacterial SSU rRNA". It matches the Rfam family "Bacterial small subunit ribosomal RNA", at positions 10 to 509 of the family's 1533-position model. The record is from RNAcentral. Lineage: Bacteria; Pseudomonadati; Bacteroidota.
AGUUUGAUCAUGGCUCAGGAUGAACGCUAGCGGCAGGCCUAACACAUGCAAGUCGAGGGGUAACAGGGAGCUUGCUCCGCUGACGACCGGCGCACGGGUGCGCACCGCGUAUGGAACCUACCUUGUACAGGGGAAUAGCCCAGGGAAACUUGGAUUAAUGCCCCGUGGUACCAUGACCCGGCAUCGGGAUAUGGUUAAAGCCUUCGGGCGGUACAAGAUGGCCAUGCGUCCCAUUAGUUUGUUGGUAAGGUAACGGCUUACCAAGACUACGAUGGGUAGGGGCCCUGAGAGGGGGAUCCCCCACACUGGUACUGAGACACGGACCAGACUCCUACGGGAGGCAGCAGUGAGGAAUAUUGGACAAUGGAGGAGACUCUGAUCCAGCCAUGCCGCGUGCAGGAAGAAUGCCCUAUGGGUAGUAAACUGCUUUUAUACGGGAAGAAAAAGAGCUACGUGUAGCUUACUGACGGUACCGUAAGAAUAAGGACCGGCUAACUCCGUGCC